This 1719-nucleotide long non-coding RNA is filed under the name Lupinus angustifolius (narrow-leaved blue lupine). Its description in RNAcentral is "long non-coding RNA (LANG_LNC000815)". The record is from RNAcentral. Lineage: Eukaryota; Viridiplantae; Streptophyta; Magnoliopsida; Fabales; Fabaceae.
CUAUACUUCCACCAUUCACUUGUUUUGGGCCAAAUAUUUUGUAGUUUAACUUUUUAUUUGGUUUCUCUUUGUGGGCCGCUCCUAGUGCUAUAUUUGUACAGAAAAAGAUUCAAGUACAACAACAAAGGAGGUAACUAUAUUUUCAUCACUUCUUCUUAUUUCUAGCAUUUCUUUAUUUAAAUUAUUUAUUAGAUUAUGAUGUAUUUACGUUAUUAUUCUAUUUUAUUUGUGAAUUUAAAUUUUACCUAUAUUUAUUUCCUAGGUUACAAUUUUUAAAAAGUUUCUAAUUGUUUCUGUUUUGGUACAUAAAAAACUAUUUAGCAAUAUGAUAAAGAUAUUUUAAGCCAAUUUUUACAACAGCUAAAAUGAAGUCUUCCCUAUAGAAUAAUAGUAAGAGUGAAAUUCAUUAAUAAUUUGAUUUAUGUUUUCAAAAAUUAUGAUUGUUCAAAUAUUCAUAGUAAUCACAUUAAAAAGAGUGUGACAUAAUAUCUAGUAUAUCAAAAUAAAGUAAAAAAUUAAUUACUUUAAAAUCUUAAUUGAAAAUUUGUCAAUAUUGUAUAAAUGAACAUCUUUUAACAUUAUUAAAUUUACAACAAAGUGGAAGUGAUGAUGGACUAUAUUUCUUGUACUAGGUAAUAUCAUCUACUACAAGUUCUAUCUUGAUGCAUUGGCCAACCUAUGUAGUGGUGUUUUCAACUCAAGCGCAGUAAGGCAAAACGUGGAAGUAAUAUGUUGGUAAGUUUAAUUCUCUAUAAAUUUUCAGUUUAAUUCUCUCUAAAAUUAAGAGUAAUUACUAAUUUCAGUGCUUCAUGUUUUUAACAUUACCAACUUACUUUUUAUGGAAAAUCAUUGCUAAUUAAAUAUGAAUGAUAGAUGAUGCAGUGAAUGUGUAUAAAACCCAUUCACUAUUAGUUCUUCCAAUUUUUGAAAUUACCCUUAAGGUCUCAAAAGCACAAUUUAGAUACAGGAAGGGUUAAUGUGUCUUGAAUUUACAAACAGAAUGGUAACCGAGAAUUGCCAUGGGUACAACUAAGGAAAUUGAUAGAAAAGGCUCGAAAUGAUAUUCAUAAAAAGCUUGGUGAAUGGAAGACUUCUUCUUUACCAACGAAAUCACUAAAACGAAUGAAUACUAUUGUGGAAGACAAAGCCAAAAAUUAAGAAAGAGAAGAUGUGCCCAGAACAGAGGUGGCUGAUGCAAAGUAGAAAAAGGAAAGCAUUUAUGAUGUUUUGUUUUAUACAAGCUGAAACCGUCCUAAGGAAUGAAUAUGAGUCAGAUUUGAAUCUCUGAAAUUUUAUUUUAUAUUUUUAUUUAUUAAAGACAUUUAGUAAAUGAAUUUUUCUGUAUUUGUUGAGACUGAUUAUGAAGUUUGUUAUUUUUUAUGUACAUUGGUGGGGCUGCAUUAUUGGUUUUCCUUUUUGGAGUUUUCUUAAAGAGUAAUUUCAGUUGCAUGUGCAGUGUGAACUUGUCUUAAAAGAAAAUUAGUUAUUGCAGUUAUGUAUCUCACAAUCCAUAUUCGGCAACAUUUAAGUCUGUUCAAGUCGAAGGGUUUAUCUUUGUUUUUCUGUUUGUUAUGUAUCUAACAACCAAUAAUUGUUUGUUAAAAUUGCUUAAACAUUGUGACUUGUUUAGUGACGAAAAAUAGGAUGGGAAGAAAAUUUUGGGAGGGUCCCACAAAAUAUUUCCACCCCACUUUGGAUAGAAAAUGGUAAGAAGCCGAC